UUGGACUAUAGCCAAGUGGUAAGGCAACAGACUUUGACUCCGUGAUCGUUGGUUCGAAUCCAGCUAGUCCAGUCCA
This 76-nucleotide transfer RNA is filed under the name Lederbergia ruris. RNAcentral describes it as "tRNA-Gln". It matches the Rfam family "tRNA". Rfam says of the family: Transfer RNA (tRNA) molecules are approximately 80 nucleotides in length. Their secondary structure includes four short double-helical elements and three loops (D, anti-codon, and T loops). Lineage: Bacteria; Bacillati; Bacillota; Bacilli; Caryophanales; Bacillaceae. The record is from RNAcentral.